Long non-coding RNA from Xenia sp. Carnegie-2017, 381 nucleotides. RefSeq lists it as uncharacterized. The record is from RefSeq and is a predicted model, not a curated record. The transcript is spliced from 3 exons. NCBI's taxonomy places the organism in Eukaryota, Metazoa, Cnidaria, Anthozoa, Malacalcyonacea, Xeniidae.
CAUGUGUUAUAACAUUGAGGGUGUUAUAACACAAUGCACGGUUCAAACGAUAAGCUUUCCGCGAGUCUUAUAAUCUUCAAAGAGUUGUUCACUUAACAUACAUGUUCAAUCAUGUACAGUCAUGGAUAUCAAUGUUUUAGCAUGAUAAAACUAUUACAAUGCGAAAGCACGAUCUCCAUAAUCACUUGCCAUGAUAUUGUUGUUGCAUUUUAUAGACAUGUCGAGCGUACGGACAGUGAAAGAACGCGAACCCUGGCAGUGGUACAAGAGAUGAAGAUCAAGAAGAAGAUAGAGGAAUGAGGAGGAGGCUGAUGAAAAGAAGAGGAUGCUGACGGAGAGACGAGGAAGAUGCUGACGGAGCUACGAGGAGGAUGCUGAUGG